AGAGUUUGAUCCUGGCUCAGAUUGAACGCUGGCGGCAUGCCUUACACAUGCAAGUCGAACGGUAACAGGCCGCAAGGUGCUGACGAGUGGCGAACGGGUGAGUAAUGCAUCGGAACGUGCCCAGUCGUGGGGGAUAACUGCUCGAAAGAGCAGCUAAUACCGCAUACGACCUGAGGGUGAAAGCGGGGGACCGUAAGGCCUCGCGCGAUUGGAGCGGCCGAUGUCAGAUUAGCUAGUUGGUGGGGUAAAGGCCUACCAAGGCAACGAUCUGUAGCGGGUCUGAGAGGAUGAUCCGCCACACUGGAACUGAGACACGGUCCAGACUCCUACGGGAGGCAGCAGUGGGGAAUUUUGGACAAUGGGCGCAAGCCUGAUCCAGCCAUGCCGCGUGAGUGAAGAAGGCCUUCGGGUUGUAAAGCUCUUUCAGCCGGGAAGAAAACGCAUGGGUUAAUACCCUGUGUGGAUGACGGUACCGGAAUAAGAAGCACCGGCUAACUACGUGCCAGCAGCCGCGGUAAUACGUAGGGUGCGAGCGUUAAUCGGAAUUACUGGGCGUAAAGCGUGCGCAGGCGGUUUGUUAAGAUAGGCGUGAAAUCCCCGGGCUCAACCUGGGAACUGCGUUUAUGACUGGCAGGCUAGAGUAUGGCAGAGGGGGGUGGAAUUCCACGUGUAGCAGUGAAAUGCGUAGAGAUGUGGAGGAACACCGAUGGCGAAGGCAGCCCCCUGGGCCAAUACUGACGCUCAUGCACGAAAGCGUGGGUAGCAAACAGGAUUAGAUACCCUGGUAGUCC
RNAcentral lists this ribosomal RNA (791 nucleotides) under uncultured bacterium. RNAcentral describes it as "bacterial SSU rRNA". It matches the Rfam family "Bacterial small subunit ribosomal RNA", at positions 8 to 796 of the family's 1533-position model. The record is from RNAcentral.